This 94-nucleotide transfer RNA is filed under the name Pseudoalteromonas issachenkonii. RNAcentral's name for it is "tRNA-Tyr". It matches the Rfam family "tRNA". From Rfam's summary of the family: Transfer RNA (tRNA) molecules are approximately 80 nucleotides in length. Their secondary structure includes four short double-helical elements and three loops (D, anti-codon, and T loops). Further hydrogen bonds mediate the characteristic L-shaped molecular structure. tRNAs have two regions of fundamental functional importance: the anti-codon, which is responsible for specific mRNA codon recognition, and the 3' end, to which the tRNAs corresponding amino acid is attached (by aminoacyl-tRNA synthetases). tRNAs cope with the degeneracy of the genetic code in two manners: having more than one tRNA (with a specific anti-codon) for a particular amino acid; and 'wobble' base-pairing, i.e. permitting non-standard base-pairing at the 3rd anti-codon position. Lineage: Bacteria; Pseudomonadati; Pseudomonadota; Gammaproteobacteria; Alteromonadales; Pseudoalteromonadaceae. The record is from RNAcentral.
GGAGGGGUUCCCGAGCGGCCAGAGCGGCCAAAGGGAUCAGACUGUAAAUCUGACGGCUCAGCCUUCGCUGGUUCGAAUCCAGCUCCCUCCACCA